CUAUUUUGAGGGCCGUUGGGUCACCGGCCUCAAACUUUCAGUGGUCGUGUUUGGUAGAGAAGAGGGAAAGGAGGAUGCCCUCGUUUCGAAGAAGAAGAGAGUUAUUCUCUUUCUUCCAUCCUUUCUCUAUCUUCCUUAGUGUGUUGUUUAUUAUUUUAUUUUUUAGAUAGAUCAAGAGGUCUAUAGGGGAAAAAGGAUUCA
RNAcentral lists this long non-coding RNA (201 nucleotides) under Elaeis guineensis (African oil palm). RNAcentral describes it as "long non-coding RNA (EGUI_LNC025308)". The record is from RNAcentral. Lineage: Eukaryota; Viridiplantae; Streptophyta; Magnoliopsida; Arecales; Arecaceae.